Non-coding RNA from Paramuricea clavata, 224 nucleotides. The record is from the annotation of a GenBank genome assembly. NCBI's taxonomy places the organism in Eukaryota, Metazoa, Cnidaria, Anthozoa, Malacalcyonacea, Plexauridae.
AUUCGUGCAAAGAAAAAUGCCUGGAAAAAAAUUCGUUCAGCCAUUACGUCAGAGAAAAAAAAUUCGUGCAAGCAAACAGCAAAGUCAUGGGCGUACCGGGCAGUUGGCAGUCGGGCAAUAUUCGCUGAACAGUCGGGCAAUUUUAGUUUAUUAAAAAAAAAAAAUUGACAAAUUCUGUCAAUUUUGUGGUAACUUUUGGUAUGUGGUAUGUCCGGAAAAUUUUU